GUAGGUGAACCUGCGGAAGGAUCAUUCAUAAUAAGUGUUUUAUGGCACUUUUUUAAAUCCAUAUCCACCUUGUGUGCAAUGUCAGGGUUGAUUUUUCUCUCGAGAGGAUCAGCCCCAAACAUCAACUAUAUCUCAACUCUUUGUCUGAAAAAUAUUAUGAAUAAAACAAUACAAAAUACAACUUUCAACAACGGAUCUCUUGGCUCUC
This 208-nucleotide unclassified non-coding RNA is filed under the name plant metagenome. RNAcentral describes it as "partial contains small subunit ribosomal RNA, internal transcribed spacer 1, and 5.8S ribosomal RNA". The record is from RNAcentral.